Molecule: ribosomal RNA, 477 nt
Filed under: uncultured anaerobic ammonium-oxidizing bacterium
Lineage: Bacteria
Description: bacterial SSU rRNA
Rfam family: Bacterial small subunit ribosomal RNA
Source: RNAcentral
UUCGCAAUGCCCGAAAGGGUGACCGAGCGACGCCGCGUGUGGGAUGAAGGCUUUCGGGUUGUAAACCACUGUCAGGGGGGAAGAAUGCCCGAAUGGUGAAUAGCGCUCGGGAGUGACGGUACCCUCAGAGGAAGCCCCGGCUAACUCCGUGCCAGCAGCCGCGGUAAUACGGAGGGGGCAAGCGUUGUUCGGAUUUACUGGGCGUAAAGGGCGCGUAGGCGGGAUGGUAGGUCUGUUGUGAAAUGCUACCGCUCAACGGAGCAAAGUCAACGGAAACCCCCAUUCUUGAGGCCGGGAGAGGUGAGAGGAAUUGCUGGUGGAGCGGUGGAAUGUAUAGAUAUCAGCAAGAACACCGGUGGCGAAGGCGGCUCACUGGCCCGGUUCUGACGCUGAGUGCGCGAAAGCGUGGGGAGCGAAGAGGAUUAGAUACCCCGGUAGUCCUAGCCGUAAACGAUGGGCACUAAGUAGAGGGGUUUU